Molecule: non-coding RNA, 102 nt
Organism: Gymnopus androsaceus JB14
Lineage: Eukaryota; Fungi; Basidiomycota; Agaricomycetes; Agaricales; Omphalotaceae
Source: the annotation of a GenBank genome assembly
GGGCAUGUAGUGUAGGGGUUAUCGCGUCCGCUUUGCAUCAAUCAGCUUUCUUUCUGCUGUGUGUCUUGCGGAAGGUCUCCGGUUCAAUUCCGGACUUGUCCA